Molecule: long non-coding RNA, 2299 nt
Filed under: Paramuricea clavata
Lineage: Eukaryota; Metazoa; Cnidaria; Anthozoa; Malacalcyonacea; Plexauridae
Source: RNAcentral
CAAAUAGUUCCACUUUGUAAUGGUGUGUUAUAAUAGUCAAAAUAAUAAUAUAAGAAAACAGGUUUAUAUGGCACUUGAACAUGGUCUUUUCAAUGAGUAUGUAAAGGUAAGUUUAUACUUCAAAAAGGUCUGUUUUUAACCUGACAAGAAUUUCGUCCAAAAUUAACUAAAACUCAAUCUUUGUGACCUUUCAAUGAAAUUUCAUAAGUUCAAUCAGCAACUGCUACUACUGUAUAUGUCUUUUGAUGUCUGUGUUUGGUUUGCUUUAAUGUUGAUACCAGAAAUUGAUGAAAAUGCAAUAUAAUAUUUUGUUUGUUGAGAUCUGAGGAUUGUAUGGAAACUGGAGGACUUUGAUCAAAACUGUUUGUCUACUUUUGAGUUAACAAAGUAUACCCAUGCAAAACUUAGUUUCUGUUUUUUUUUAUUAUGCAACACAAUAAGCUGUUUCCUAAUUGAAAAUUACCUUUUGGUUUUGACCAAUAUAAAGAAAAGUGUAAAAAAAAUUUUAUGAACAUUUGAAAGUUUGGUUCAACCACAUUUUGUAAUUGUGUAUUUCGCUACAUGUUUUGCAUCAAAAACAUUUCCUGAAGUGUUUUUUUUUCUAUUAUAAAUAAUAUAAAACCGGAGAACUUUUCCCUAGGUGAAAUUUAGGAGAUGUUUGUAGUGGAUCAAUGUGUGUCAUUUUAUUAUAUUUAUCAAGGACGAGAAAUGUAGCAUUUUCUUAAGCAAAGCAAAUUGAAACCGAAUUUUUGAUCGAAAAAUCAAUCAGAAUUGAAGAAAUAAUAACAUUCUUUUAAAAUUUUAUUGAACUGCAUUUUCAUCAUUGAAUUAGUAUUAACAUUUUAUAUAAUCAAUUCAAAAUUGUCAGGUUAAAAACGACGCUCAAAGAUAUAUGGCUCCAAAAGACUGCGGGAUAAUUUCAAAUUCUUAAAUUCUUGAUUUGGCACUUGAAAGAAAUUUAUAUAUGUUCAAUUGAGUAUGGAACCAAUGAUCUAGUCGUAAUGUUUCGAUGUUUAAAAAUGUUAUUUCUGAGUUUAAUGAAGUAUGCUGUCGAUGCAUUGUCAAAAUGUUAAGGCACUUUAAAGGAAAUUAAUUUUCUUCAAGCAAUGGAAUUGGUUGUCAACGAGAAUGUCUUGCCAACCACGUGACAACUGAUCUCGCAUUACAAUGAAUGGUCUUCACUUUGCAUCUAAACAUCGCGAUAAACUAAUGAUUCUCCAUACUCAAGCGAAAAGUUUGGUCACUUUACCAAAAACAGCAAAAGCGUGUUCGAUUUACUUUGUCUUUGAGCCAUAUAUUUUAUUUGUAAAACAACCUGGUGUUACGCUUUUCAUUUCUCCAUCACUCCUAAAAUUUAUCAUUAGAGUUGUUUUACAAUAUUUGAAGUAUAAACAUUUAUCUUGAAAAGACCAGGUUCUCUUGUUUCCUCAAGAAUUAACUCUUUUGAUGUUAAUUCGCGGGCAAACAAGUUUUUUAAUGUUGUGUUUUCACUUGUGCUUAUUCACUUGUGUGGAACACAAUGUUAAUUGUUCUCUUUGUGCCAUGUUCUGUUUUCUUCUAUUGUUAUUUAAAUAAGUACAGUAUGCAGUGGUUGUUCUCUUUUUAUUAUUAUUCAAAUUGUAAAAUUACAAAUUCUUUUCAAUAAAUUGUUCAUUAAUUAUACAAGAGACUCCUUUUUAAUUCAAAAUUCAAUUCCCAUGGGAAUUGAAAAAAAAAAUAAAAAAAAUCCCUCUACCCCGGCCGGCUCCCCAAGUGCUACCUCUACUUCAAGCAGAAGUAAAAGUACUUCUACUUAAAGUAGAGGUAGCACUCGGAGAGCCAGCCGGGGUAGCGGGGCGAAGAGAAGACCAACCUUGCAAAUGCUAAUGCAAAUUGCUAAGUUGAUCUUCUCUUGAGAGCAGCCACGCGCAUACCUAGCAAAUGUAAACAACAAGCGUUAGUAACAAAUACUCGUCAUGCAAAUUUUGAAUCCCAUGGCCGAAAUGACAAGUGCCCCCCACUGAUUCCUACCAACUAACUACCUGCCUCAAUCCUAAGCUGUCUGCCUCGUUCCUAAGCUGUCUGCCUCGGUCCUAAGCUACCUGCAUUCCAUUCGUAACUUCCGCUUUCCUCACCAUCACACAGACACUCACAACUGCCCAACCCGCCACCAGCCCGAACUGCCCACCCUUAAAACUGAAGGUAUUAAAAUUUUGGUAAAGUAUAUUGAAUAAUUAAUUUAAUUAUUCGAAUAUUUUAGGCCAAACGCAAACAAAUAAAUUAAAGGUUGACGAUUAAGAAAGACCGCGUAUACAAACAG